RNAcentral lists this ribosomal RNA (888 nucleotides) under uncultured Alphaproteobacteria bacterium. RNAcentral describes it as "bacterial SSU rRNA". It matches the Rfam family "Bacterial small subunit ribosomal RNA", at positions 8 to 944 of the family's 1533-position model. The record is from RNAcentral. Lineage: Bacteria; Pseudomonadati; Pseudomonadota; Alphaproteobacteria.
AGAGUUUGAUCCUGGCUCAGAACGUACGCUGGCGGCACGCCUAACACAUGCAAGUCGAACGAAGUAGCAAUACUUAGUGGCAGACGGGUGAGUAACAUGUAGGUAUCUGCCCUUUGGCCUGGAAUAACACGAGGAAACUUGUGCUAAUACCGGAUAAGUCUUUACGGAGAAAGCUUUAUGCACCAUUGGAUGAGCCUGCACUUGAUUAGUUUGUUGGUGGGGUAAUGGCCUACCAAGACUGUGAUCAAUAGCUGAUUUGAGAGGAUGAUCAGCCACAUUGGGACUGAGACACGGCCCAAACUCCUACGGGAGGCAGCAGUGGGGAAUCUUGCACAAUGGAGGAAACUCUGAUGCAGCGAUGCCGCGUGAGUGAAGAAGGCCCUUGGGUUGUAAAGCUCUUUCGUCGGGGAAGAAAAUGACUGUACCCGAAUAAGAAGGUCCGGCUAACUUCGUGCCAGCAGCCGCGGUAAUACGAAGGGACCUAGCGUAGUUCGGAAUUACUGGGCUUAAAGAGUUCGUAGGUGGUUGAAAAAGUUAGUGGUGAAAUCCCAGAGCUUAACUCUGGAACUGCCAUUAAAACUUUUCAGCUAGAGUAUGAUAGAGGAAAGCAGAAUUUCUAGUGUAGAGGUGAAAUUCGUAGAUAUUAGAAAGAAUACCAAUUGCGAAGGCAGCUUUCUGGAUCAUUACUGACACUGAGGAACGAAAGCAUGGGUAGCGAAGAGGAUUAGAUACCCUCGUAGUCCAUGCCGUAAACGAUGUGUGUUAGACGUUGGAAAUUUAUUUUCAGUGUCGCAGGGAAACCGAUAAACACACCGCCUGGGGAGUACGACCGCAAGGUUAAAACUCAAAUGAAUUGACGGGGACCCGCACAAGUAGUGGAGCAUGUGG